UGCAAACCUUAGAUAAGGCUAGUAGUAAUAUUAUGAUUUUUAGAGAGUUAGUGGCUGGUGUAAACUAAUAUUCAUGUAUUGUGAAUCCACCUUUGAGGGACUGUGAAUUAAGCAGUACGGUAAUAUCGUUAAAUUUUAGAGUGAAUAACAUUUAUGUUAUUAAUUAGGGUGGCAACGCGGAGUUUUUCGUCCCUUUU
This 197-nucleotide non-coding RNA is filed under the name Clostridium botulinum. Its description in RNAcentral is "T-box sequence". It matches the Rfam family "T-box leader". Rfam says of the family: Uncharged tRNA acts as the effector for transcription antitermination of genes in the T-box leader family. T-boxes are found upstream of many aminoacyl-tRNA synthetase genes and some amino acid biosynthetic genes usually in Gram-positive bacteria. The anticodon of a specific tRNA base pairs to a specifier sequence within the T-box motif, and the NCCA acceptor tail of the tRNA base pairs to a conserved bulge in the T-box antiterminator hairpin. Lineage: Bacteria; Bacillati; Bacillota; Clostridia; Eubacteriales; Clostridiaceae. The record is from RNAcentral.